UGAGGAGCCCACAGCCCAGUCCUGCUACAACACCCAACGGUCCGCAUAGAAGUUCCAUAAUUGGUCCUGGACAUUAGUAAGAAUGCGGAAGAAACGCACACAUCAAUCAAAGACGCUUGUCUGGAGCUCACAUGAUAUGGCCUGAAAAAAAAACAUGAUCCUGAGAGGAACUGGCUUUACUCUACCGUCUGCUGAAUCCUGGUGUGAAACCUACAGGGGACUGAGGAGCCUUGAAGUGUGCUCCAGGAAAUACAUCCAUUUAUUUAUAGGUUCCUCAGGUUGAUGAAGUCGGGGGCUGAACAUGAAGAGAUGCCAGCGUGUGUUUAGUGAAGAAGACGACCGACGCUGUGGUGCGCCUGCUGGGUCAGCCAGGGCAUCACCACCCUCCGCUCCUCGGUGGUCCACACCUCCAUUCUCCACCAGACACACUCUCUGCGUCUGUGGCUCAGUGUAGCAGCUCACAAUGACGCAGUGGAGUCAUCAGAAGAAAAAGAAAUAACAUGCACAAGGACGCGAGUCUGUGUGGACAGUCUUCCUGGAAUGAUGUCCCUCUGUGUGUGACACAGAACAACACAGCAACAACAAAACAAGCUCAGUCAUCUACAGGUCAACCUCCACGUUGGACAUUUUUUGUGGAACCUGCUGAGGUGUUGGGGGAAAUACAAGUUCUCAGCUUCUGCGUCACUACUGAGAGCUCUGCAACAACACACAGACAAACGCAGGUAGAGCGACAACUCCUCCACGUCACAGACUCUGCUACUCUCCAGCUCGACCAUGAUGACAUGACAACUGCGAUGAAUGAAGAUCCUGGACCAGACCUGGUCUGAACAGGGUGUUUUAUUCAUCGCUGACUGGUUCUCUGUGAUUCAGCCGGUGCUUCUUAUCCAGAGUCCUGCAGAAAUGUCAGGAAUAAUGUCAACGUUUGCUGCCUUCAGUUUGGACCUUGUUGUUUCUGCUGUCAUUGGAUGAGGAUUUACCAGAGAACAGUUCAGAGGCUGAACUUUCACUGGAUGCUGUUUUUUUUGGAAACCCAUUCCUGUUAAUCCCUCAUCUGCUGAUUCAACAAUCUCCCCUUUUUCAACCUUCCUCUGACCUCGACCUGACGACUGUGCUGUCCCAACCUUUUUGGAUUGGAUUACAGAAGAAACCUUCACAUCCCAAAGUUUCACACGUUCACGGGAAAAUGAAAAAUAAAAUCCCCCAAAAGGAUAAAGCGGUGUCCUGACUGUGAGGCAUUAAAAACACGUUUGAGACGCAGCUCUGAGCGUCUUUGUGGCUGGAUUUGCCCAGGCUCAUGACUCAGUAUUGCUCAUCGUGUAAGAGAUGAUUUGCCCGCCAUUUCUCAAAAUGGUUUCUCUCCCUCUUUGUUCUUGCCUGUUUGCUUUAUCUGCUCAAGCCCAGAGUAUGUCUCAUGCUUUUGAACAUUUAUUUUAUUCCUCACCUCAGCGAUUAAUUUGCCUUUUUAUCCAGUCAAUGUUUAACCACUUGUAUAAUUUUCUGAGGUUUUAUUGAUGCUUAGAAAUUAUGAAAAAAACUGGGGGAUGGGAAUAGGAGAGAGGAGAGCUUUGUUUCCUUCCAAAGAAAUGAACUUGAUUUUUCUUUUUCUUUUUUUGAUACAGUGAGUAACUUAACUAACUCCUGUUGUGUUAUUUCAAGACUUCCUGUCUGCUUUUUGUCCCGUCACAUGAAAGAUAUGGUUACCUGGUGUGUAGAGUUAAUCAUUACUUAAAGGCUUCCUCAUUGCGAGCUCGAUCAUUGAACACGAUCUGUGUUUCUUCUGUGUGUGUGUGUGUGCCUGUGUAGGUGGGUACGAACGGAAAUUACUUUGCCUCCUUCAGAGAAAGUUACCAGUUCAGAACUCAACCGUAUGUCACAUGUCUGCCCACGCAGAGCUGCCUUCAGAUCUCUCCAGUGUCUCUGUGCUUUGAUGAUUGGACGUGAACGUGAACAAAAGACAUAGAAGUGGGGCAGAAGGACGGCAGUGGAACAACGAGUCAGGGAUUGUGAUUAUCAGUGUAUGACGGUCUUUACUGAGGGUUUGUUCAGUGAUUAAUCACUUACUCCGGCCUAAGGAUGGGCCACAGACCUGCUUUACUGGGGCAUUCUCCUCAGUCUCUCGCCUUUUUUUUUAACUGUGUGUGUGUAUAUAUAUAAAUAUAUAUGUAUGUAUUUGGGGAUAUGGUGGGGGGGCAAAAGUGUGGGGAGGGGGGUGUAGUGGUGUUCUUGUAGUUGGUGGCUAAAUCUUGUAAAGGGUUUCCUAAUAUGGGCCGUCUUACAGAACGCCCUCCCCCAGUGGGCCACCCCCCCCCCAGGUCUCAGCCAGUGAUGACACAGCUCGGGUACGACUCACUUCCUCAUUAAUUGGCUGAAACCAGUUCUUACAGGAACCGCCUGUGAUAAAUGUGCGAGUUCUGAGAAGUCAUUCAUUUCUCCUCUCUGCAGCAGCAGAGGAGGCACUGCAGGGGAGUUGAACGAGUUCACCGAUGUGUGUGUGUGAGUGUGUGUCAGGGAGAGAGCGCGGCGUAUGUGUGUGAGUGAGAGGAGAGCAGAGCAGAGCAGAGCGGGAGAAUGUGGGUGACUACUGAUGCCGGGGCUGUUGUGUGAAGACCGGCCAACUUUCUUUUCUUCCGUUUUCUUUUUUACUUUUGGGUUUUUCACUGUUUUUUUCUUCUUUUUUUUCUUUUUUUUUCUGUGACCGUGGUACGGUUUGAACUUUUUUCCCCCUCUUCUGUCCGUACGAGUGUGUGUGUGUGUGUGUUUGUGCGGAUUAACGUUGAAGGGCUUGCACUCGUUGCUCUCUCUGCCGUUCCCUCUCCUCAGAGGGAGGAAGCAGGAGAGAGCAGCUCAGUACAGGAGAUAGGACAGCAUGCCUCCCUUUGUUGCUGCCCUUGGGCUGGUGAGUAACAAUGAUGUGACGUGAUUUGUGCCCCCUCACCCCUUCUCCCUCCUCCCUCUCCUGUUCUUCCUCCAUGCCUUUCCCCCCUCCUCUCUCUUUUCUCUCUUCUUCCUUUCCUCCUCCCUCCUUCCCCCACCCCUCCUCUCUCUCUUUCUCUCUUUCUCUCUCUCUUCCUACGUUGGUUGGAGGCAGAUCUGUUCCACUGCUGGGUGCGGCACUGCAGAAGCCCUUCAGGGAGCACUUGGAGGCCCAGAAGGCCGAGCUGCACCAUCACACCAGUGAGGGGAUACUAACUGUAAGUACAGGGGCCCUCAGCCCCCGGCCCACAGCCUCUAUUCAUUCACAAGUGCGCGCUAAGUAAAGAAUGUGGCCCCUUACUUUUGCCUCUUUCGCUCCUUCUCGCUCCACUUUUUUUUCUCCGUCCUCUCCCUCUCUUUAUGUAAGCCUGUUUUUAAAUUUGUUUUCAGGCAUGGAAAUAAUAUUCAGUCACCUGUGCCUUUGGACUUGACUUUAAUUGUUAACAUUCACGUGAAAUGAAAACCCAGAGCAGGAGCGGAGGUUCCACCGUCCUCACUAACUUUGUCCUACUGUAGAUUACAGGGUCUUGUUUGGGGCCACAGUGACUGCACUGGGGCGGGCUGGAGGGGUGUGUGUGUGUGUGUGUGUGUGUGUGUGUCAGGGAGGAGGGGUGUCUGGCUCCACUCGCUGUAUUGAACUAUACUACUGUAGCGCGGGGCGUGCUGACUCAUGCUCCAUCGUACCAAUUGGGAGUGUGUGUGUGAGUGUAGUCACUCCCCUCUGUGUCUCACUCACACACACACUUGCACUCAAUGCUCCGCCUGAACCCGGCGAUGACUGUAGAUCGGGGCGGGGGCCAAGCUCCCACCACCACCAGCUCCAACCCUCCCCAUCAGUGACAAUCCAUCAAACCCCCCUGUCUAGAACAAAAAGAGCCAGUUGUAGCCGUAGCUUAUUCCUCCUUCAAAGGAUUUCUUUUCAUCCUCUCCGUUUCUCUUCCUCCCUUCGUCUUCCUUCUCCGAGUGAUUCGUUUCAGACCUUUUUCCCUCACUUGUGAGUCGACUAGAAGGAUAGGAGGAGGAAAGGAUAGACUUGUGAGUUGCACAAGGACAGAUUAAGGCAUUUCAAGAACAAUGUUCCUUUUUUCUUGUAACUUGAGCCUCCUGCAGUUACAGGAGAGAAGCAGGCCAAUUUAACUUGGUGGAGGGAGGCUGCAGGGGCUGGGGUCAGCGGGGGCGUUAGGAGGGAGGAUGGUGGGGGCUGCCGCAUGUUUUAUUACCCCUGAUCUCUAUCUGUCCAGCACAUGGAGCUGGAUCCCCACCUAGCCUAGAGCAUCAGGAGCAGAGGGGAGAACAGGGUGUCGGGUGUAUGAGGGGAGGAGUGAGUGUGGCUCUCAGUGAACUGACCCCAGACUCUUCUCUCUUUCUCUUUGCAUUUCCUGGCAGGAGGAGAACCGGUCGUCAUGACUCUUUGAGAAGAUUCUGGUCAUUGUGACAUGUUUCUUUGUCUGCUCCGUUGUCAACUGCGUGGCCCAGAGCCACGCCAACAGGAGGCAGCCGCCGAAACUCAAGGGACGAGUCAAGAGCGGCGAGGGGCCACGGUCAAGGCAGAUCAUCAGCCUCCAACCUCCUCUUUUCCUCCUUUCGACCGCUCCUGGCUAAUUGUCCACCACGGCGUCUGAAGCCACGCUCUGUCUCUUUUUUUCUUAUUAACAACAUGUAGAUGUUGAACUCGGAGAUUAUUUAAUUGCUUUUUUUAAGGUUUUGCAUUUGGUUGUGAUUUCAGCUGUUUUACUGUGUGAGGUAGGUGCCCGUGAGUUUUGUGACUGUGUGUGUAGCUGUUGUGUUGUCACAGUGUGUCAUGUUGUGGCCACAUGAGGUAAGACAAUGUGAGUAAUACAUUUCUAUGAGGCCUAGAUUUGAGCAGAAACUUACAGUACGGUAAUCAUAUUUCUGUACAGUCACCAAAAAUUGACUUCAUUAACAUUAGAGGGUGAUCAACAGAUUGAUUCCACGUGAGUGAUCUGAUGUGUUCAGUUGUCAUAUUUCCACCCAGUUCGUAUUUCUACCCUUAAAUAGAUUGUAUAUCAUUUGUGUUACAUGAGUUGUGCAGUGUUUGAGGACAGUGAAUAUCAGUCCUCCGUCUUUGUGUGUGGAUCACUCCACAGUCGUUUGUUGUAGUUGUUGAAUGAAUGUUUCCUUAAUUGUGUGAUGUAGGUGAAGCACUUUUGGAAGUUUUGGGCAGAGAGCUAAAUCGGCCAUGAAUCACUCUGCUGGUUCUUUGUCUGCGCUCAUUGUUCUGCUUCCAGGAAGAGAGCACAUGAGUCAGCCCGGAGCUACUUUACCAGAUGCAGACGCAUAUUGACUCAGAUCUACGACCGUGUGUGCUUGGCAGAGAGCGAGACACGGAUCGUAGGUCGUGUUCGCGUGGCCACGUUUGUUGCUGUCUUUUAUCUUUUUAUGGUUAAGCGCGGGUGGUGCUUCUCUAAUGGACAGGGAGUCCGCCCGGCAGUGUGAGUAUGUCAGAGUGUGGCUGUUCUUUUUUAGCUGUGUGACAGUCAAAAUGAUGGUUAGCGUUUGUAGUCUUUGUCUCGGUUGUCCUCGGAGCAUUAUAAAGUGCUUUCCUCCCCCGUGAUGAGAACCAAAUGCUCGUGUACGACAUCACACGAGACGCUCCUCAAACAUUUUAUGCGAUCAGUCUUCAUUUAUUUUUAUUGGACGUCGUCGGCUGGCUCCCUGCGCCAGUUUCAGCCUUUUCUCUGUAAUUGUCGAUGAAUUGUGCUAAUUUUUUUCCCUUCGUCUGUGUGCUGCUGCUGUGCUACGCUGGGCUGAGUGCAGUGAGUGCGAGCGCAGGAGAGAGAGAGAGAGAGAGAGAGAGAGAGAGGGAGGAAAAAAGGCUCCACUGCACAGUGAACAGCGUCUGUGCUGUUACCUCAGCUGAACCUUCAAAUGAACUCGUUGCACUGCCCUAGUCUUGGAGCCAGGAGACGAAGCACUCGAGUAGAUUCAAAACAGAGAGGCACUGUUGAGCAGACUGAAGGCUGCGCUCUGCACCAGCUCCAGUCACAGCACUUACAUUUCCUUUUUUCUCCCGUUGGUGGUAAGUAGGAUUAGGAUUCUUUUGUUGUUGUUGGUUUUUGUUUUUGUUUUUUUGUUUUUUGUUUUUUUCAUUUCUGUUGUGGUACUUCCGUACGUCUCCGUCACUCUCGGCCUGUCAGAUAGCUUAUCAGACUGGUGUUGGCUGUUUAGAUUUUAAGGCGACAACAGUCUGUAGGCUGUCUGACAUUUCGGGCUCUUUCAUCUGAUCAGCAUCCUGUCGUGCCCGUCGUGCCCCCCCCCUUCUGUUACUGUCAUUGUCUCAGAAAGCAUCAGUUCCCAUUUGGAGGCAUGUGUUGACGAUGUCACUUCCCUUUAAUCUCAACUGCUUUUGAAAUGUUGGGGGGGGGAGGGGUUGUUGGGAACUGUGAGGUUUUCAAAAAUUCAGAUGUAGUGACGUCAGCGAUGUACAUUUAUAUUUGUGCUGUGUGUGUGUGUGUGUGUGUCAGUUGGCUCCGUCCUCUUGAAUUUCCAGAGAAUCCAGACUGUACACACCUUAUUGCAACACAUCACACUGACACCCAGCCUUAGGUAUGGUACACACAGUGCUCAUAGAAUUCUCCUCUUCCCUUUUACACUUCUCUUUUUUCUUUCACUCAGGACUUUCUUCUGUUGCUCAACACGCACUUUUUGCAGGAGGCUGCAUUUUAUUGGAACAAACCUCUCGUGGGGACGUUUUUCUAAGGGCCACAAAUUGGUAAUUACACAAAGCUUAAAAUCAUUGCCUGACCAGCGGAUGCUUUUGCUGCAAAACCUCAGUUUUAUUUUAGACUAUUCUGUUUUUUCUAGACUAGUGCAAAAGUGUAAAAAAUAAAAAACGUUUUUCUCGGUCAUAAAAGUAAAAUCAGUGGAAUGGCUCGUCGGCUUAGCAAGUGUUUUUCUUGGCAGUUUCAGAAUGUCCUGUUCCUCAAGGGAGCCCCCUUUGGCAUGUGUGUGUGCGUGUGUGCGUGUGUAAAUUCUGUUCUUUUUCCGUGCCUGUAACUCUUGCCUGUUUUCUGUAACGUACUAAUUCCAAAUGUGUCUGCACGUGUUGUAUUUCCUCCUUUCAGCUAUUAAUAAAGUUGUUGAAAAGACA
Molecule: long non-coding RNA, 7084 nt
Organism: Cynoglossus semilaevis (tongue sole)
Lineage: Eukaryota; Metazoa; Chordata; Actinopteri; Pleuronectiformes; Cynoglossidae
Exons: 12
Source: RefSeq, a predicted model, not a curated record